RNAcentral lists this ribosomal RNA (490 nucleotides) under uncultured bacterium. RNAcentral's name for it is "partial 16S ribosomal RNA". It matches the Rfam family "Bacterial small subunit ribosomal RNA", at positions 28 to 507 of the family's 1533-position model. The record is from RNAcentral.
GUUGAACGCUGGCGGCAUGCCUAACACAUGCAAGUCGAACGGUAACACGAAGCCGCGUUCGGCUUUUCGAACGACGAGCGGGCGGGUGACUAAUGGCUGGGAAACUGCCUGAUGGAGGGUGAUAACUACUGAAAACGGUAGCUAAUACCGCAUAACGUCGCAAGGCCGAAGAGGGGGACCGUCGUUCCGCUGUCCGUCGGGUUUGCGCAGAUGGGAUUAGCUGGUGGGGGGGGUAACUGCUCACCUAGGCGACGGUCCCUAGCUGGUCUGGGAGGAUGACCCGCCCCAAUGGAACUGAGACACGGAUCAGACUCGUAAGGGAGGCCGCAGUGGGGAAUAUUGCAGCAUGGGGGAAAAUUUGACGCAGCGAUGAAGAGUGUAUGAAGAAGGCCUUCGGGUUGAAAAGUACUUUCAGCGGGGAGGCAGCGAGUACAGGUAAUAAAUCGGCUUAUUGACGUUACCCGCAGAAGAAGCACCGGCUAACUACGUG